AUUGAACGCUGGCGGAAUGCUUUACACAUGCAAGUCGAACGGUAGAGGGGGCAACCCCUCGAGAGUGGCGAACGGGUGAGUAAUAUAUCGGAACGUGCCCAGUCGUGGGGGAUAACGUAGCGAAAGUUACGCUAAUACCGCAUACGAUCUAAGGAGGAAAGCGGGGGAUCGCAAGACCGCGCGCGAUAGGAGCGGGCGAUAUCAGAUUAGGUAGUUGGUGGGGUAAAGGCUCACCAAGCCAACGAUCUGUAGCUGGUCUGAGAGGACGCCCAGCCACACUGGAACUGAGACACGGUCCAGACUCCUACGGGAGGCAGCAGUGGGGAAUUUUGGACAAUGGACGCAAGUCUGAUCCAGCCAUUCCGCGUGCAGGAUGAAGGCCCUCGGGUUGUAAACUGCUUUUGUACGGAACGAAAAGGUCUCUCUUAAUACGGGGGGCUCAUGACGGUACCGUAAGAAUAAGCACCGGCUAACUACGUGCCAGCCGCCGCCGUAA
This 496-nucleotide ribosomal RNA is filed under the name uncultured bacterium. RNAcentral's name for it is "partial 16S ribosomal RNA". It matches the Rfam family "Bacterial small subunit ribosomal RNA", at positions 30 to 523 of the family's 1533-position model. The record is from RNAcentral.